This 280-nucleotide long non-coding RNA is filed under the name Elaeis guineensis (African oil palm). Its description in RNAcentral is "long non-coding RNA (EGUI_LNC036033)". The record is from RNAcentral. Lineage: Eukaryota; Viridiplantae; Streptophyta; Magnoliopsida; Arecales; Arecaceae.
AAAGUCAAACAUCGGGCACUCUUCACAAUCAUCGAUUUCUUUCUUCUCUUGACCUUCCAACAAAUUUUUACAUGUAGACUCUCAUUUUAAGAAAAUCUCAAUCUUCUAUAUCAGUUCGAAUAAUAAUAUUAAAUUAAAAUAUAUAUAUAUGGGAUCUGUGUUAAGAUAUUUUAAGUUUUAACUAAUAACAAAACUAUCAAGCUAUUAGUAAUCUUAAAAUAUCUAAAUUUUUUUGGCAUUAUCUAUAAUGAAGCAAACUACUGACAAAAUUAUCCGGCUA